CUUUUGUGCAUUUUAAGACUUAUAUUGUUCAUUUGCCCUUUCAACAAUGAAGAAAUAUUACUUUAAGUAUUAGAAUGAAUUUGCAAGUUAAAAUAAAUUCCUUCUUCCUAACCCCUCAGAAGUCUGGGCCCCGUAUGCAAAUAGGAUUCCUGGGGCCACCGAAACACCCACUCCAGGGUGGGAGGGCAGCUGAACUGAGAGACCACCCCUCCCACCUCCAUCGCCAAACAAAGGGGUCCUUCAGCCCUCCCCAUAGCACACACACCCCCUCUCAGGGUGGUCCCCACCCUUAGGACGCUCUUUCUAGUCCCACCCCCAUCUCCAGGGUCCACCCUGACCUCCCCACACUCUCAAGUUUGGCCUGCCAGCUGCUGUGAGAGGGCUCAGGGCCAGUGUGGCACCACCUGGGGGCCCAUGGGGGUGAGCUGGGCCACCCCAGGCCCCUCAGAGGCCUGGCUGGUGGCUGUGCAGUGGCCUGAGAGGGCCUUGACGGGGCUCUGGUGCAGACAAGCCUUGAGUGGUUGGAAGUCAAACCACGAUCCCUCUGCCCGAAUGUCCCCCUCUCCACCCGGGUGUCUGUUAUGGGCUGAAUUGUAUCCCCUCAAAAUUCGUAUGUUGAACUCCUAACCCCCAGUGCCUCAAAAUGGGACUGUAUUUGGAGACAGAGUCUUUGAAGUGGUAAUUAUGGUAAAUGCAGUCAUUAGGGUGGGCCCUAAUCCCAUAUGACAGUAUCUCCUUUUAAGAAGAGGAAAGUUUGGAGGUCGGCCCUGUGACAUCCUGGUUGAGGCUGGCAGGCCCUGCUUUGGUGGCCCAGAUCUGCGGGUUCAGAUCCUGGGUGCAGACCUACACUGCACUCUUCAAGCCACGCUGUGACGACAACCCACAUCCAACAUAGAGGAAGACUGGCACAGAUGUUAACUCAGGGAUGACCUUCCCCAAGCAAAAAGACAAAGAAGAAGAUUGGUAACAGAUAUUAGUUCAGAGUGAAACUUCCUCAUCAAAAAAAAAACCAAAAAAAACUGAAAAAGAGGAAAUUUGAACACAGACACGCAUACUGGGAGAGGCGAUGUGAACAUGAAGACGGCCGUCUAUAACCAAGGAGAGAGGAGGGAACAGCCCUUCCUUCACGGCCCCGGAAGGAACCAAGCCUGCUGGCACCUUCAUUUCUGACUUGGAGCCUCCAGAGCUGAGAGAAGACACUGUUCUGUUGUUUAGGCCUCCUAGUCUGUGGUACUUUGUCAUGGCAGUCCCCACAGAUGGCUACAGUGUUCUUGAACACCAGACUAGGCCCUCAGAUAGAAUCCCAAAGAGGUUAAAGACAGGUUUUGGGGCUGACUUGGUGGUGUAGUGGUUAAGUUAGUGCAUUCUGCUCUGGUGGCCCAGGGUUUGUGGGUUUGGAUCCCAGAGGCAGACCUAUGCACCACUUAUCAAGCCAUGCUGUGGCGGUGUCCCACAUACAAAAUAGAGGAAGAGUGGCACAGAUGUUGGCUCAGGGCCAAUCUUCCUCACCAAAAAAACAAAAGAGAGAGAGAGAGAGAUAAGUGUCAGCUUACAAAAAAUGCAUCAUCCAGUUUGAGAGACAAGUCACCAACCUGUUGUCACAAUACAGCCCAGUGGGCCAAAUGCACAUUUUCAAAGGAAUGCAGUUUCCCAAGCUAUAGGAUGUUGGCAAAACUUACAGACAGGGCCAGCUAGAGGCCAAAUCAUGGGGUGUGGUAGGAGUAGGGGUCACAGGGCUUUGCCUUCAGACUCUCCAGCUCCCUUCCAGCCCCAGCAAUCUGCUAGUCAACUACAGGGGAGGGUGCAGAGCCUUAGCGCCACCUCCUGCUCACAGCUGCACUCUGUGUGGAGCCAGCUUCACUCC
Molecule: long non-coding RNA, 1864 nt
Organism: Equus caballus (horse)
Lineage: Eukaryota; Metazoa; Chordata; Mammalia; Perissodactyla; Equidae
Source: Ensembl